AGUCGAAGCGGCAGCACGGGUACUUGUACCUGGUGGCGAGCGGCGGACGGGUGAGUAAUGCCUAGGAAUCUGCCUGGUAGUGGGGGAUAACGCUCGGAAACGGACGCUAAUACCGCAUACGUCCUACGGGAGAAAGCAGGGGACCUUCGGGCCUUGCGCUAUCAGAUGAGCCUAGGUCGGAUUAGCUAGUUGGUGAGGUAAUGGCUCACCAAGGCGACGAUCCGUAACUGGUCUGAGAGGAUGAUCAGUCACACUGGAACUGAGACACGGUCCAGACUCCUACGGGAGGCAGCAGUGGGGAAUAUUGGACAAUGGGCGAAAGCCUGAUCCAGCCAUGCCGCGUGUGUGAAGAAGGUCUUCGGAUUGUAAAGCACUUUAAGUUGGGAGGAAGGGCAGUAACCUAAUACGUUAUUGUUUUGACGUUACCGACAGAAUAAGCACCGGCUAACUCUGUGCCAGCAGCCGCGGUAAU
Molecule: ribosomal RNA, 472 nt
Filed under: uncultured bacterium
Lineage: Bacteria
Description: bacterial SSU rRNA
Rfam family: Bacterial small subunit ribosomal RNA
Source: RNAcentral